Molecule: long non-coding RNA, 181 nt
Organism: Octopus sinensis (East Asian common octopus)
Lineage: Eukaryota; Metazoa; Mollusca; Cephalopoda; Octopoda; Octopodidae
Exons: 3
Source: RefSeq, a predicted model, not a curated record
CGUCGCUUCUUGAUACUUCGAUGUCGGCUCUUCCUAUCAGAAUUCGCAAAGCGUUGGAUUGUUCACCCGCUAACAGGGAACGUGAGCUAGGUCUAGACCGUCGUGAGACAGGUUAGUUUUAUCCUACCGAUGCAUCGCGCGUACGCGGCGCCCCGAGUCGCGUCGGGGGUUGCGGCGGCGC